GAUGAACGCUGGCGGCGUGCCUAAUACAUGCAAGUCGAGCGAACAGAUAAGGAGCUUGCUCCUUUGACGUUAGCGGCGGACGGGUGAGUAACACGUGGGUAACCUACCUAUAAGACUGGAAUAACUCCGGGAAACCGGGGCUAAUGCCGGAUAACAUUUAGAACCGCAUGGUUCUAAAGUGAAAGAUGGUUUUACUAUCACUUAUAGAUGGACCCGCGCCGUAUUAGCUAGUUGGUAAGGUAACGGCUUACCAAGGCAACGAUACGUAGCCGACCUGAGAGGGUGAUCGGCCACACUGGAACUGAGACACGGUCCAGACUCCUACGGGAGGCAGCAGUAGGGAAUCUUCCGCAAUGGGCGAAAGCCUGACGGAGCAACGCCGCGUGAGUGAUGAAGGUCUUCGGAUCGUAAAACGCUGUUAUUAGGGAAGAACAAAUGUGUAAGUAACUGUGCACGUCUUGACGGUACCUAAUCAGAAAGCCACGGCUAACUACGU
RNAcentral lists this ribosomal RNA (496 nucleotides) under uncultured bacterium. RNAcentral's name for it is "partial 16S ribosomal RNA". It matches the Rfam family "Bacterial small subunit ribosomal RNA", at positions 28 to 506 of the family's 1533-position model. The record is from RNAcentral.